Molecule: ribosomal RNA, 2733 nt
Filed under: human gut metagenome
Description: bacterial LSU rRNA
Rfam family: Bacterial large subunit ribosomal RNA
Source: RNAcentral
AGAGCACAAGGAGAAUGCCUUGGCACUAGGAGCCGAUGAAAGACGUGGUAAGCUGCGAAAAGCUUCGGGGAGGCGCAAACAGCCAUCGAUCCGGAGAUAUCUGAAUGGGGAAACCUACUUGAGCAAACCUCAAGUAUCCAUACGUGAAUCCAUAGCGUAUGGAAGGGAACGCUGUGAACUGAAACAUCUAAGUAGCAGUAGGAGGAGAAAGAAAACUCGAUUUCCUAAGUAGCGGCGAGCGAACGGGAAAGAGGCCAAACCGAAGGACCUGGUUCUUCGGGGUUGCGGACUGCAAUUAGCAUUGCUGAGAGAUAGACGAAUGGUUUUGGGAAAGCCAGCCGUAGACGGUGAAAGCCCGGUAGACGAAAUCUUGAAGCAGCGAGCAGGAUCCAGAGUACCACGAGACACGAGAAACCUUGUGGGAAGCCGGGGGGACCACCCCCCAAGCCUAAAUACUCCCUAGUGACCGAUAGUGAAGCAGUACUGUGAAGGAAAGGUGAAAAGGACCCCGGGAGGGGAGUGAAAGAGAACCUGAAACCUUGUGCUUACAAACAGUCAAAGGCCUACGGGCUGAUGGCGUACUUUUUGUAGAACGGUCCGGCGAGUUACUAAUGCCAGCGAGGUUAAGAUGUCAGAAGCAUCGGAGCCGAAGGGAAACCAAGUCUGAAUAGGGCGUAGAGUUGGUAUUAGUAGACCCGAAACCGGGUGACCUAUCCAUGUCCAGGUUGAAGGAACCGUAAAAGGUUUUGGAGGACCGAACACACAUGUGUUGAAAAACGUGGUGAUGAGGUGUGGAUAGCGGAGAAAUUCCAAUCGAACUCGGAGAUAGCUGGUUCUCCUCGAAAUAGCUUUAGGGCUAGCCUCGAGCUGGAGUCUAACGGAGGUAAAGCACUGAACUGACGCGGGGCCCAAAAAGGUUACCAACUCAUAUCAAACUAAGAAUGCCGUCAAGAUACCCUCGGGAGUCAGUCUGCGUGAGAUAAGUCGCGUGGACAAAAGGGAAAGAGCCCAGACCGACAGCUAAGGUCCCAAAGUACGUGUUAAGUGGAAAAGGAUGUGGGAUUUCAUAGACAACUAGGAUGUUGGCUUAGAAGCAGCCAUACAUUUAAAGAGUGCGUAAUAGCUCACUAGUCGAGAAAACCUGCGCCGAAAAUGUAACGGGGCUAAAACACGACACCGAAGCUACGGAUUCCUUACAAAGUAAGGAGUGGUAGAGGAGCAUCCUGCAAGGACGAAGCCAAAGUGAGAGCGAUGGUGGACGAAACAGGAGAGAGAAUGCCGGAAUGAGUAGCGAGAUACAUGUGAGAAACAUGUAGGCCGAAUAUCUAAGGAUUCCUGGGUAAAGCUAAUCUUCCCAGGGUUAGUCGGGGCCUAAGGCGAGGACGAAAGUCGUAGUCGAUGGAUAACAGGUUGAUAUUCCUGUACUACACAUAAUCAGAACUGUGGGGACGCAGGAGGAUAGGGAAACCGGGGAAUGGAAAGACCCGGUCAAGCGUAAAGCUGUGGGAGAUAGGCAAAUCCGUCUUCUGUAAGUGAAACGUGAUGAGGACUGAAAAAAAGUAAGGAAGUUUCCGAAUCCACACUGCCGAGAAAAGCCGCUAUUGCGUUAUGUGUACCCGUACCGUAAACCGACACAGGUAGAUGAGGAGAAAAUCCACAGGCCGACGGGAGAAGUGUUGUUAAGGAACUCGGCAAAAUGACCCCGUAACUUCGGGAUAAGGGGAGCCUCGCAAGAGGCCGCAGAAAAGAGGCACAAGCAACUGUUUAGCAAAAACAUAGGUCUAUGCGAAACCGUAAGGUGAAGUAUAUGGGCUGACGCCUGCCCGGUGCUGGAAGGUUAAAAGGAGAGGUCAGCGCAAGCGAAGCUUUGAAUUCAAGCCCCAGUAAACGGCGGCCGUAACUAUAACGGUCCUAAGGUAGCGAAAUUCCUUGUCAGGUAAGUUCUGACCCGCACGAAUGGUGUAACGAUCUGGGCACUGUCUCGACUACCCGCCCGGCGAAAUUGUAGUACCGGUGAAGAUGCCGGUUACCCGCGACUAGACGGAAAGACCCCAUGGAGCUUUACUGUAGCCUAAUAUUGGGUUUCUUCGCGCCUUCCCGCACAACAUCCUCCAGCGUGCAGAGGACCUCAUGUCUCGAGAUCGCCUUCACUUCCGUCGGGUUCUUUAACCCAUGAGCGUCAUUCAUAUACGGCGGAUUUGUCGUAACGACAUCAAAGGAAGCCGCUCCGAAAAUCCGGCUGGCUUCCUUGAUAUCUCCAUGUACGAUCUCAAUUUUAUUUUCCAGAUGGUUUAAUUUUACGCUCCGCUCCGCCAUCCUGGCAAUCUCAUCCUGGAUCUCAAGUGCCGAAAAAUGUUCUCCCUCCGUCUUUGCGGAAAGAAGAAGCGGAAUGAUCCCCGUCCCGGUUCCAAGAUCCAGUACCCGCUCCCCGGGCUUUACAGCAGCAAAACCAGAAAGCAGAACCGCGUCCAUACCAAAGCAGAACCCAUCUGUCUUCUGGAUGAUCUGCAGUCCAUUUCUCUGAAGAUCAUCCAGACGCUCAUUUUCCUUUAACUCAAUCGUCAUCGAGUUUUGAUUUCCCUUCUUUUUUCUCAAGAGCCUCUAACUGCUUAAGUUCCGCAUCGUUCGUGGACUGCUUUUCCCGUCUCUUUUUCGGGCGGAAUUUUAACUGAUCCACUUUAUAUUCACGGAUCUCCUUCUCAUCGUUGUUCACAGUCACAAUGACCUUCACAA